CGGCGAGUGACUGGGAUGAGUCCAGCGCUGAAUCGCGGCGCCUCUGGUGCCGUGAGGUGUAGCGUAUAGGCCGUGAGUUUGGGCUGGCGCGUCCGUUCAAGUUUCCCUUGACCGGGGCUCCAGAGAAGGUGCAAGACCUGUCCAACGGGCGCGCUGCCAGUCCAUCUUUGCGUGUCUUGGAGUCGGGUUGUUUGGGAUCGCAGCCCAAAUCAGGUGGUAAACUUCAUCUAAGACUGAAUAUGACUACGAGUCCGAUAGCGAACAAGUACUGUGAAGGAAAGUUGCAAAGCACUUUGAAGAGAGAGUUAAAGAGGACGUGAAACCGGUGAGGUGGAAACGGACAGAGCUGGCGUAUCUGGCCUGUAUUCAGCCCGCAAGCGGUUGGCGCCGAGGCAAGUGCUUCCAGAUUGGGGCGCUGCUUUGCGUGCUGGCUGUUUGAGGGUGCAUUUGCAGGUGGAGUGGCGCCGAGGCGUUCGGUGCAGCGACAUGAUCUGGGACCUGAGGCCAGCCCGUUUGCGCGGCGCUGGUACCCGGUCUUGGGGAGUGUUGUUUGUGCUGGACGACAAUUGCUUUUGGGUGUUGGUUUCGAGCUGUGUUGGUGCCGAGCUGGCGGCGGGUGGCGGCCGCGUGCGACACGUAUUCGUUGUCGGUUCGGUUUCGGCGCAGUUCCCAUGCACUCGCCCUCGGUGUAAAAGCCGGUCAUCUGUCCGACCCGUCUUGAAACACGGACCAAGGAGUUUAGCGUGUGCGCGAGUCAUUGGGCGUUGAAAACCCAAAGGCGCAAUGAAAGUGAAUGUCUCCUCACGGAGCUGAUGUGCGACCCUGUGCGCCUCGGUGUGCGGGAGCAGCAUGGUCCCGUCCUGACCGCUUGCGGUGGGGCGGAGAAAGAGCGUGCGCGCUGAGACCCGAAAGAUGGUGAACUAUUCCUGAGCAGGACGAAGCCAGAGGAAACUCUGGUGGAAGUCCGAAGCGAUUCUGACGUGCAAAUCGAUCGUCUGACUUGGGUAUAGGGGCGAAAGACU
This 1022-nucleotide ribosomal RNA is filed under the name Radopholoides japonicus. Its description in RNAcentral is "eukaryotic LSU rRNA". It matches the Rfam family "Eukaryotic large subunit ribosomal RNA", at positions 87 to 932 of the family's 3401-position model. The record is from RNAcentral. Lineage: Eukaryota; Metazoa; Nematoda; Chromadorea; Rhabditida; Pratylenchidae.